UCAGGCUAUGGGACGGCUGGCGCGUCCAAUGGCGUUCUGAACGCCAUAAAUGGCGGCACGAUCGUCUCGGACAACUCGAUC
Molecule: transfer RNA, 81 nt
Filed under: Pandoraea sputorum
Lineage: Bacteria; Pseudomonadati; Pseudomonadota; Betaproteobacteria; Burkholderiales; Burkholderiaceae
Description: tRNA-Gln
Source: RNAcentral